UGUACUUAAAGAUAUAGUAGAUAUCUCUAUGAUGAGCUGAUAAAUCCUAUAUAAGAGCACUACACUUAGACAUCUUAUACACUAAGUCCUGGUACCGAACCACAGCCGAUCCCAACAUCAAAUUGCUUAAAUGGACACCAAAAAAAUCAUCCUCUUUGCAGUUUUUGCAUGCAUCUUAUUAUCAGUAUGUGUUGAAGAAUCGUSUGCUCAAAUGCAUCUUCGAUGGGGCCGAGAACUUGAAGACCAGGACAGAGAUGCCCUUCUAAAAUGGAUAUGGAAUAAGAGAUCRGCCCAGAAAAACAAAAAAUUCAAGUCGAAUGGCUGGGAAUGAGAAAUCUUUCCUYUGAAAAGAUAAAUGUCUGGGUGAAUCCAAAUCUAUUUGCUAAUGUAUAAUUUGUUUAUUGGAAUAAAGAUAUAAGAAACAAUU
This is a long non-coding RNA of Exaiptasia diaphana, 427 nucleotides long. RefSeq lists it as uncharacterized. NCBI's taxonomy places the organism in Eukaryota, Metazoa, Cnidaria, Anthozoa, Actiniaria, Aiptasiidae. The transcript has 3 exons. The record is from RefSeq and is a predicted model, not a curated record.